This is a transfer RNA of Ophiostoma piceae, 72 nucleotides long. It matches the Rfam family "tRNA". From Rfam's summary of the family: Transfer RNA (tRNA) molecules are approximately 80 nucleotides in length. Their secondary structure includes four short double-helical elements and three loops (D, anti-codon, and T loops). Further hydrogen bonds mediate the characteristic L-shaped molecular structure. tRNAs have two regions of fundamental functional importance: the anti-codon, which is responsible for specific mRNA codon recognition, and the 3' end, to which the tRNAs corresponding amino acid is attached (by aminoacyl-tRNA synthetases). tRNAs cope with the degeneracy of the genetic code in two manners: having more than one tRNA (with a specific anti-codon) for a particular amino acid; and 'wobble' base-pairing, i.e. permitting non-standard base-pairing at the 3rd anti-codon position. The record is from Rfam. Lineage: Eukaryota; Fungi; Ascomycota; Sordariomycetes; Ophiostomatales; Ophiostomataceae.
GCCCCCGUGGCUCAAUGGUAGAGCGUUGCACUCGUAAUGCAAAGGUUCGCGGUUCGAUUCCGCGCGUGGGCA